This 506-nucleotide ribosomal RNA is filed under the name uncultured Glomeraceae. Its description in RNAcentral is "SSU rRNA". It matches the Rfam family "Eukaryotic small subunit ribosomal RNA", at positions 569 to 1078 of the family's 1831-position model. The record is from RNAcentral. Lineage: Eukaryota; Fungi; Glomeromycota; Glomeromycetes; Glomerales; Glomeraceae.
AGCAGCCGCGGUAAUUCCAGCUCCAAUAGCGUAUAUUAAAGUUGUUGCAGUUAAAAAGCUCGUAGUUGAAUUUCGGGGUUAGUAGGUUGGUCAUGCCUCUGGUAUGUACUGGUCUCACUGAUUCCUCCUUCCUGAUGAACCUUAAUGCCAUUUAUUUGGUGUUUUGGGGAAUUUGGACUGUUACUUUGAAAAAUUAGAGUGUUUAAAGCAAGCUAACGCUUGAAUACAUUAGCAUGGAAUAAUGAAAUAGGACGUUCGAUCCUAUUUUGUUGGUUUCUAGGAUUGACGUAAUGAUUAAUAGGGAUAGUUGGGGGCAUUAGUAUUCAAUUGUCAGAGGUGAAAUUCUUGGAUUUAUUGAAGACUAACUACUGCGAAAGCAUUUGCCAAGGAUGUUUUCAUUAAUCAAGAACGAAAGUUAGGGGAUCGAAGACGAUCAGAUACGUCGUAGUCUUAACCAUAAACUAUGCCGACUAGGGAUCGGAUGAUGUUAAUUUUUUAAUGACUCA